AAAAUUGAAACCAACCUAAUCUCAAUCUCUCUGUUCAUUUUAUGGCAGCCUGGAAUACUAACACACAAAAUUACACAAUGGUGGGAGUAAGCAGGAUCUGUACCUGAGGUGCAAGGCAAAGCCCAUCAUGAAGAGCCUUCAAUCUCCUAUCUGAGCAGGAACAAGAGAGAAAAUCAAUUCUCUGCCUCUGAAAGUUUGACUCAAACAAAGUCUUCUUGCUUUUUACCCUAAGGCUAUGAUGAACUUGGACUGGACUUCUAUAGUUUAGCAUUUGACCGAGAUAUCCCAGUUUCCCAACUGUCAGAUUAUAUUGUUGUGAACACUGAGAAGGCAUACGGGGACACAGGAAGAAGGCUGUGAUAUUUCCCAAAAUUUGUUUCCUGCUGUUCUACUCAAGACUGUCAAAGAAGCUAUAAGGACAGAGAUUCUGAGCACAAGAGACAAUGAGGGAUUUUGAAGUUUGGUGUGGAAGGUAUAAAACAUGUUCUUUGUAUUCUGAUUGAAUUUUGCAUUAUCUGUAAAAUACUCUGUCCUACUAUUUGUUAGUAUUUUAUUCAAGCCUCUUUUUGCUAGUACUAAAAUAUCAUUGAGCAAUUCUCUGCAAACCUAGAACAUGACAGACAAUUGGCUGUUAUCUGCUUAGAUUAUAGCAAGACAUUAUUUUGCCUGUUCUAUUUGAUACAGGUUUCAAAUCCUUUUAAAACUGUACCAUCUUAAAGAUCCCCCUCAAUCCAAGGGCUAGAUAAAAUAAAUCAAUUAACAAUGAGUAAAAAAAUGUGCAGUCACAAGCUGAUUUAUUCUUUUUUCUUCAUAGGAAGGGCAAACUACCCUUAACUCUCUACUUAUAAACAUGUCUACAUUCCCUCUGAGUACUUUGCACAUUUUAAAGACAUUUUUGUAUCUUUACAACAGUGAGACAAUGAAGUGAUACAUUCAUUAUGUUGAUGGAAGGACUUAGAGAACAGGUACCUAAAUCUGGAUCUGGCUGAUAUAACUUGGGCUCUCCAAUUCCUAUCCCCCAGCUGCCUGCCUGGGAACAUGAUGCAGAACUACAGAGGUGCCUACAUGGCACCCGUUCCUUAAGGAGAGUACUUGGUUUUAAAAUUCGUAUUUCAGAAACCUCAAUCCAGACUGUCUGGAUGCACUUCUGUUUGACAAUCUAGUUCACUCCUGAAAUCCAAUCACCUUCUUCCAAGAAUUAAAUACAUUUAUUUUCCUGAUUUCUAUUUAUGUUUAAAGUCAAGUUAGUGGAGCAGAGUUUGUGGAAGAAAUAGGAACUGAGCUAAAGUUUAAAGCACCUACAUCCUAGACUGUACUGACACUCAUAUUAGCUCUCAUCUAUAUAUACUCAAAUCUACAGGUAAAUAAAUAAAAGUAGAUACGCACAAAAUUCCAUCAUUUCUAUUAAACAAUUCUUUAGAAAAAUACAGUUGACAAACUUACAUUUCUUCUUAAUACAGUAGGUACUCUGCCUAAGAAACAAGAACUUCUAGCUCAAAUCAGGGCUUAGGCAAUUUAAACAAAGACUUGCAUCAAAAGUUUUCAAAAUUUCACAAAAGUGCCAUUCAAACCACCGGCAAUUGAUCCUUCCCAUGCUGUAGUGAUGCUCACAUUUAACAAAGCAAAUGGAGAGUUAUGAUUGUUAUCUAAAGCAGGGGCACAAUUAAAGAAAAUGAGAUUUGUUUAUAGAACAACAUCAGCUUGUUUUUUUCUUGGUUACUAAUCAUGAGUUUAAUUUUUAAUGGAAAAGCAUUGCUAGCACAAUUAACACUCAAUUUACAUGUGCAUCCAUAGACCCAAUUAAUUAAAUUUUAUUGAUGCCUAGUUGCUCUUUAAAAUGCGUUCCAAAUGCCUUCAAAUUGAUUUUAAGUGGUUGAUAGUGAAAGCCUGUAUGCUUCUGGUAGCAACCCUACAGAUUUUCAUAUAUUUAUUUAUAUAUUUUAUAUACAUUUUAAUACACAUUUUUAUACAUGUAGCUUACAUACUGUAAGCUUUACACAAUACUUUUUCUCAGAACAUUGACUGUUCUGUAACAGAAUUUAAAACAAAGUUAUGGAAGAAGCUCCUAAAAGCCUUGCAAUGAAAUACAAAAAUACUAAAAUUAGAGUUUUUAAAAUAUAAAGUAAUAAAUAAUUUGUAUAAGUUAUUUGAUUUCCAUGGGCAGAACAUCUCAUUGAUGUUUGAAAAAUACUCAUGCAGAACGUAAACCAGCAGCAUUCAGUAUGAUUAGUGGUAGGUGGGUUACUUCAGCUAAAAUAGCACCAAAGAAUCUUAGCAACAAAGUUUCUGAAUCAGAGAGAGAAAAUUGGUAUUACCUGUGCUUUACACUUUGGGAACUAAAACACAGAAAUCGAGGAACUGAUCUGAGAUCUUCUGAGGACAGCAGGAAUUUGCUGCAGAUUUUCAUAUUAGGUGACUUUCCAAAAGUGACAGAAUAAAUCUGAGUGGUCAGAAAUUUAACUUACAUUGUUUAAAUCUAAGCACAGUAUCCUUGCCAAAACACCUUCCCUUGUAUACUUCAUAAAAUAAAGUGAAUCAAUAUUGCUGAUG
This is a long non-coding RNA of Gallus gallus (chicken), 2550 nucleotides long. The record is from Ensembl. Lineage: Eukaryota; Metazoa; Chordata; Aves; Galliformes; Phasianidae.